RNAcentral lists this unclassified non-coding RNA (309 nucleotides) under plant metagenome. RNAcentral's name for it is "partial contains 5.8S ribosomal RNA, internal transcribed spacer 2, and large subunit ribosomal RNA". The stretch from base 1 to 105 matches the Rfam family "5.8S ribosomal RNA", at positions 50 to 154 of the family's 154-position model. The record is from RNAcentral.
GAAAUGCGAUAAGUAGUGUGAAUUGCAGAAUUCAGUGAAUCAUCGAAUCUUUGAAGGCACAUUGCGCCCCUUGGUAUUCCAUGGGGCAUGCCUGUUCGAGCGUCAUUUGUACCCUCAAGCUCUGCUUGGUGUUGGGUGUUUGUCCCGUCUCCGCGCGUGGACUCGCCCCAAAGUGAUUGGCAGCCGGCGUACUGGUCCCGGAGCGCAGCACAUGUCGCGCAAACGAGUGCCUUGGUACGGCGGCGUCCAUAAGCCCCUCUCUCACGCUCUUGACCUCGGAUCAGGUAGGGAUACCCGCUGAACUUAAGC